Molecule: transfer RNA, 72 nt
Filed under: Anaerolineae bacterium
Lineage: Bacteria; Bacillati; Chloroflexota; Anaerolineae
Description: tRNA-Lys
Rfam family: tRNA
About the family: Transfer RNA (tRNA) molecules are approximately 80 nucleotides in length. Their secondary structure includes four short double-helical elements and three loops (D, anti-codon, and T loops).
Source: RNAcentral
GGGCUUGUAGCUCAGUGGCAGAGCACCCGCCUUUUAAGCGGAGUGUCGAAGGUUCGAAUCCUUCCAAGCCCA